RNAcentral lists this ribosomal RNA (433 nucleotides) under uncultured bacterium. RNAcentral describes it as "partial 16S ribosomal RNA". It matches the Rfam family "Bacterial small subunit ribosomal RNA", at positions 29 to 507 of the family's 1533-position model. The record is from RNAcentral.
AACGAACGCUGGCGGCAUGCCUAACACAUGCAAGUCGAACGAGACCUUCGGGUCUAGUGGCGCACGGGUGCGUAACGCGUGGGAACCUGCCCUUAGGUUCGGAAUAACUCCCCGAAAGGGGUGCUAAUACCGGAUAAUGUCUUCGGACCAAAGAUUUAUCGCCUUUGGAUGGGCCCGCGUUGGAUUAGCUAGUUGGUAGGGUAAAAGCCUACCAAGGCGACGAUCCAUAGCUGGUCGGAGAGGAUGAUCAGCCACACUGGGACUGAGACACGGCCCAGACUCCUACGGGAGGGAGCAGUGGGGAAUAUUGGACAAUGGGCGAAAGCCUGAUCCAGCAAUGCCGCGUGAGUGAUGAAGGCCUUAGGGUUGUAAAGCUCUUUUACCCGGGAUGAUAAUGACAGUACCGGGAGAAUAAGCUCCGGCUAACUACGUG